AAAUUAAUAUUAAAUAAUUAAUUCUCGGUUUAGUAAGAUUUAUUAAAUUAUAAAUUUUAUUGUGAAAAAAAUAUUUAUAAUAAUUUAAUUGAAAUGAAAUGUUAUUCGAUUACUAAUAUAUCUAGUUUUUUAAGAAAUAAAUUUAAUUUAUUAAAUUUUAAGUAUUUAUUUAUUAUUAUUAUUAUUAUUAUUAUUAGAAUAUUAUAAUUUGAAAAUGAUUUUAGGGAUAAGCUUAAAAUUAAAGUUUAAGAUAUACGGUAGUCAGUAAAAUGUAUAGAAUUAGAAGUUUUUAUUGUAAUAUAUUAAGUUAUAUUAAUAUUUAAAGUUAAUUAAAUUUAUAUUAUAUUUUAGUAUCUAUUAAAAUAAUUAAUUUAUUGGUAAAUUUAAUUUAAUAAUGAUAGAAUUAGUAUUAAUAAUUUUAUAUUAUAACUGGGAUUAAAGGUUAAUUUAAGGAAUUCGGCAAUAAUAUUCUUGCCUGUUUAUUAAAAACAUGGUUUUUUGAUAAUGAUUUAAGAUUUGAUCUGCUCACUGAUAUUUUAAAGAGCUGCAGUAAUUUGACUGUACGAAGGUAGCAUAAUAAUUAGUUAUUUAAUUGGUAACUAGAAUGAAUGGUUGGACAAAGUAUAUACUGUCUUAAUUUAAAUUUGAGAGAAUUUUAUAUUUAAGUAAAAAAGCUUAAAUAUGAUUAAAAGACGAGAAGACCCUAUAGAAUUUAAUACAAAUUUAUUUAUUAGUUUAAAGAAAUUAAUAUUAAAAUUUAAAUAGUAUUUUAUUGGGGCGAUGGAAAAAUUUAAAUAACUUUUUUAUAGUUAGUUACAUAUAUGAAUGUAAAUUUGAUUCAAUAUUAUUGAAUAAUAGAAUAAAUUACCUUAGGGAUAACAGCGUAAUUUUUUUAAAAGUUCAAAUUUAAUUAAAAGAUUGCGACCUCGAUGUUGGAUUAAAAUUAAAGUUAGGUGUAGAAGCUUAAUAGUUAGGUCUGUUCGACCUUUAGAAUU
This 995-nucleotide ribosomal RNA is filed under the name Leptaulax bicolor. RNAcentral describes it as "partial 16S ribosomal RNA". Lineage: Eukaryota; Metazoa; Arthropoda; Insecta; Coleoptera; Passalidae. The record is from RNAcentral.